CUGAGCUGGAGUCUGUGUAGGAGAGCAGCUCUUGAAACAUCUGGGGAUGCGAAGUUGGACCACUCCAGGCCCUGGACGCCAGCUGAGGACACUGGUGGACUUCCAGAGCCUGGAAGUCAGCUAUCUGCCACAGACCAGGGUGUGAUGGUUACUGUGCCAACCUGACACAACCUGGGAAGAGACUCAAUGAGGGACACCAUCUUGGGUUAGCCUGUGGCUGUGUCCAUGAGAGACUGCCUUAAUUAAUUGAUGUGGGAAGACGCAAGCGCCAUUCCCAAGAUGGCCAGAAGAGAGUACUAGAUCUCCUGGAGGUGUUACAGGCCAUUGUGAGCCACCUGAGAUGGAGGCCACGUUGGGCAUUGUGGAAGGGCAAACUCCGAGGGACCUAGGUGCAAGGCGCAGGUGGCAGGCUGGUGCACUCAGGAGGGCCAGCAGACCAAUGGAGAC
This is a long non-coding RNA of Meriones unguiculatus (Mongolian gerbil), 447 nucleotides long. RefSeq lists it as uncharacterized. The record is from RefSeq and is a predicted model, not a curated record. The transcript is spliced from 3 exons. NCBI's taxonomy places the organism in Eukaryota, Metazoa, Chordata, Mammalia, Rodentia, Muridae.